This 241-nucleotide unclassified non-coding RNA is filed under the name Hevea brasiliensis (rubber tree). The record is from RNAcentral. Lineage: Eukaryota; Viridiplantae; Streptophyta; Magnoliopsida; Malpighiales; Euphorbiaceae.
CUUGCUCAGGAGUUAAAGCAAGAGAUGUUUUGUCGCUGCUUCUUUAGAGAAUAACUAAAGUUAGUAGAUCAAACAUGGAGUAUGGCUGCUCUGUCAAGGAAGAAUUGGGAAUUACUAUGCAAAGGGAUCAGUAUAACCUACCAGAUUUUGAAAAUGAGUUUGCAAACGCAAAGUUAUGUGUUAUCAAAUCUUACAAUUGAAGAUGACAAUCAUAAGGGCAUUAAAUAUGAUGUAUGGGCAA